UCGAACGGCAGCACAGAGGAGCUUGCUCCCUGGGUGGCGAGUGGCGGACGGGUGAGGAAUACAUCGGAAUCUACUUUUUCGUGGGGGAUAACGUAGGGAAACUUACGCUAAUACCGCAUACGACCUACGGGUGAAAGCAGGGGACCUUCGGGCCUUGCGCGAUUGAAUGAGCCGAUGUCGGAUUAGCUAGUUGGCGGGGUAAAGGCCCACCAAGGCGACGAUCCGUAGCUGGUCUGAGAGGAUGAUCAGCCACACUGGAACUGAGACACGGUCCAGACUCCUACGGGAGGCAGCAGUGGGGAAUAUUGGACAAUGGGCGCAAGCCUGAUCCAGCCAUACCGCGUGGGUGAAGAAGGCCUUCGGGUUGUAAAGCCCUUUUGUUGGGAAAGAAAUCCAGCUGGCUAAUACCCGGUUGGGAUGACGGUACCCAAAGAAUAAGCACCGGCUAACUUCGUGCCAGCAGCCGCGGUAAUACGAAGGGUGCAAGCGUUACUCGGAAUUACUGGGCGUAAAGCGUGCGUAGGUGGUCGUUUAAGUCCGUUGUGAAAGCCCUGGGCUCAACCUGGGAACUGCAGUGGAUACUGGGCGACUAGAGUGUGGUAGAGGGUAGCGGAAUUCCUGGUUGUAGCAGUGAAAUGCGUAGAGAUCAGAGGAACAUCCAUGGCGAAAGCAGCUACCUGGACCAACACUGACACUGAGCACGAAAGCGUGGGGAGCAACAGAUUAGAUACCCUGGUAGUCCACGCCCUAACGAUGCGAACUGGAUGUUGGGUGCAAUUUGGCACGCAGUAUCGAGCUACGCGUUAAGUUCGCCGCCUGGGGAGUACGUCGCAGACUGAACUCAA
RNAcentral lists this ribosomal RNA (845 nucleotides) under uncultured Stenotrophomonas sp. RNAcentral's name for it is "bacterial SSU rRNA". It matches the Rfam family "Bacterial small subunit ribosomal RNA", at positions 62 to 904 of the family's 1533-position model. Lineage: Bacteria; Pseudomonadati; Pseudomonadota; Gammaproteobacteria; Lysobacterales; Lysobacteraceae. The record is from RNAcentral.